GAUGAACGCUGGCGGCGUGCCUAAUACAUGCAAGUCGAGCGAACGGACGAGAAGCUUGCUUUUCUGAUGUUAGCGGCGGACGGGUGAGUAACACGUGGAUAACCUACCUAUAAGACUGGGAUAACUUCGGGAAACCGGAGCUAAUACCGGAUAAUAUAUUGAACCGCAUGGUUCAAAAGUGAAAGACGGUCUUGCUGUCACUUAUAGAUGGAUCCGCGCUGCAUUAGCUAGUUGGUAAGGUAACGGCUUACCAAGGCGACGAUGCGUAGCCGACCUGAGAGGGUGAUCGGCCACACUGGAACUGAGACACGGUCCAGACUCCUACGGGAGGCAGCAGUAGGGAAUCUUCCGCAAUGGGCGAAAGCCUGACGGAGCAACGCCGCGUGAGUGAUGAAGGUCUUCGGAUCGUAAAACUCUGUUAUUAGGGAAGAACAUAUGUGUAAGUAACUGUGCACAUCUUGACGGUACCUAAUCAGAAAGCCACGGCUAACUACGUG
RNAcentral lists this ribosomal RNA (497 nucleotides) under uncultured bacterium. Its description in RNAcentral is "partial 16S ribosomal RNA". It matches the Rfam family "Bacterial small subunit ribosomal RNA", at positions 28 to 507 of the family's 1533-position model. The record is from RNAcentral.